GAUGAAGAACGUAGCGAAAUGCGAUAAGUAAUGUGAAUUGCAGAAUUCAGUGAAUCAUCGAAUCUUUGAACGCACAUUGCGCCCCUUGGUAUUCCGGGGGGCAUGCCUGUUCGAGCGUCAUUUCAACCCUCAAGCUCUGCUUGGGAUUGGGCACCGUCCUUUGCGGGCGCGCCUCAAAGACCUCGGCGGUGGCGUCUUGCCUCAAGCGUAGUAGAAUACACCUCGCUUCGGAGCGUAAGGCGUCGCCCGCCGGACGAACCUUCUGAACUUUUCUCAAGGUUGACCUCGGAUCAGGUAGGGAUACCCGCUGAACUUAAGCAUAUCAAUAAGCGGAGGA
Molecule: unclassified non-coding RNA, 337 nt
Filed under: soil metagenome
Description: partial contains 5.8S ribosomal RNA, internal transcribed spacer 2, and large subunit ribosomal RNA
Rfam family: 5.8S ribosomal RNA (bases 1-120)
Source: RNAcentral